This is a non-coding RNA of Harpegnathos saltator (Jerdon's jumping ant), 45 nucleotides long. The record is from Rfam. NCBI's taxonomy places the organism in Eukaryota, Metazoa, Arthropoda, Insecta, Hymenoptera, Formicidae.
AAAUCGGCCCUUUUAAGGGCCAUUAUAUAUUUCUAACUUUGGCAG